CGGAAAUGGGGGAAACCCUGAUCCAGCAAUGCCGCGUGUGUGAAGAAGGCCUUCGGGUUGUAAAGCACUUUUGUCCGGAAAGAAAACUUCUGCCCUAAUACGGUGGGAGGAUGACGGUACCGGAAGAAUAAGCACCGGCUAACUACGUGCCAGCAGCCGCGGUAAUACGUAGGGUGCGAGCGUUAAUCGGAAUUACUGGGCGUAAAGCGUGCGCAGCGGUUCGUUAAGACAGAUGUGAAAUCCCCGGGCUUAACCUGGGAACUGCAUUUGUGACUGGCGAGCUAGAGUAUGGCAGAGGGGGGUAGAAUUCCACGUGUAGCAGUGAAAUGCGUAGAGAUGUGGAGGAAUACCGAUGGCGAAGGCAGCCCCCUGGGCCAAUACUGACGCUCAUGCACGAAAGCGUGGGGAGCAAACAGGAUUAGAUACCCUGGUAGUCCACGCCCUAAACGAUGUCACUAGUUGUUGGGUCUUCUUGACUUAGUAACGUAGCUACGCGUGAAGUUACCGCCUGGGGAGUACGGUCGCAAGAUUAAAACUCAAAGGAAUUGCGGGGACCGCACAACGGUGGAUGAUGUGGAUUAAUUCAUGCAACGCGAAAACCUACCUACCCUUGACUGGUCGGAUCCCUGUGAAAGGUGGGGGUCUCAAAGAGAACCGAUACACAGGUGCUGCAUGGCUGUCGUCAGCUCGUUGUAG
RNAcentral lists this ribosomal RNA (696 nucleotides) under Caballeronia glathei. RNAcentral describes it as "bacterial SSU rRNA". It matches the Rfam family "Bacterial small subunit ribosomal RNA", at positions 365 to 1068 of the family's 1533-position model. Lineage: Bacteria; Pseudomonadati; Pseudomonadota; Betaproteobacteria; Burkholderiales; Burkholderiaceae. The record is from RNAcentral.